Molecule: ribosomal RNA, 253 nt
Filed under: uncultured bacterium
Lineage: Bacteria
Description: partial 16S ribosomal RNA
Rfam family: Bacterial small subunit ribosomal RNA
Source: RNAcentral
UACGAAGGGUGCAAGCGUUACUCGGAAUUACUGGGCGUAAAGCGUGCGUAGGUGGUUUGUUAAGUCUGUUGUGAAAGCCCCGGGCUCAACCUGGGAAUGGCAAUGGAUACUGGCAAGCUAGAGUGCGGUAGAGGGUAGUGGAAUUCCCGGUGUAGCGGUGAAAUGCGUAGAGAUCGGGAGGAACACCAGCGGCGAAGGCGGCUACCUGGACCAGCACUGACACUGAGAGACGAAAGCUAGGGGAGCGAAUGGG